Molecule: ribosomal RNA, 1837 nt
Filed under: human gut metagenome
Description: bacterial LSU rRNA
Rfam family: Bacterial large subunit ribosomal RNA
Source: RNAcentral
CACCCCGGGAGGGGAGUGAAAGAGAACCUGAAACCUUGUGUUUACAAGCACCGAAAGUCCAUCAAAGGACGAUCGGGUACCUUUUGUAGAAUGGUCCGGCGAGUGUAUGUAUCUAGCAAGGUUAAGCACUUAAGGUGUGAAGCCAAAGCGAAAGCAAGUCUGAAUAGGGCGACAAGUUAGAUGUAUACGACCCGAAACCGGGUGACCUACCCAUGGCCAGGCUGAAGUGAAGGUAAAACUUCAUGGAGGGCCGAACCGACUCCCGUUGAAAUGGUAGCGGAUGAGUUGUGGGUAGCGGAGAAAUUCCAAUCGAACCCGGAGAUAGCUGGUUCUCUCCGAAAUAGCUUUAGGGCUAGCCUUGAAAUAGAUUACUGGAGGUAAAGCACUGAAUUGGCUAGGGGCCGAAAGGUUACUGAACCUUAUCAAACUCAGAAUGCCAGAUAAUCGUUUUUCAGGAGUCAGACGGUGGGAGAUAAGUUUCAUCGUCAAAAGGGAAACAGCCCAGACCCACAGCUAAGGUCCCAAAUUAUAGUUAAGUGGAGAAGGAUGUGGGAUUGCAUAGACAACCAGGAUGUUGGCUUAGAAGCAGCCACUCAUUAAAAGAGUGCGUAAUAGCUCACUGGUCGAGUGAUCCCGCGCCGAAAAUUUAACGGGGCUAAACUAUAAACCGAAGCUUGGGAUACCGUAAGGUAUGGUAGGAGAGCGUCAUGUAAGGGGUGAAGUCAUAGCGAAAGCGGUGGUGGACUUUACAUGAGUGAGAAUGCCGGAAUGAGUAGCGAGAAUUAAGUGAGAAUCUUAAUGGCCGAAAGUCUAAGGUUUUUGGAGGAAGGUUCGUCCGCUCCAAGUAAGUCGGGAGCUAAGGCGAGGCCGAAAGGCGUAGUCGAUGCACAUACGGUUGAUAUUCCGUAACCACUGACAACUUAAACAAAAUGACACUUUAGAAGGGCUUGACCCGGGUGCUGGUAAUCCCGGGCGUAAGGGACCGAAAUUUAGUAGGGAAGCAAGCUUGGAUGGAGGCGAGAAAAGUUUUGUGUAUGUAAUGUUGGUGCCCGUACCGCAAACCGACACAGGUGGACAGGAAGAGAAUUCUAAGGCCAGCGGGAGAAGGGUAGUUAAGGAACUCGGCAAAUUGACUCCGUAACUUCGGGAAAAGGAGUGCUCUCGAGAGAGAGCCGCAGUGAAUAGGCCCAGGCGACUGUUUAGCAAAAACACAGGUCUCUGCCAAAUCGAAAGAUGAAGUAUAGGGGCUGACACCUGCCCGGUGCUGGAAGGUUAAGAGGAGGAGUGAGAGCUCCGAAUUGAAGCCCCAGUAAACGGCGGCCGUAACUAUAACGGUCCUAAGGUAGCGAAAUUCCUUGUCGGGUAAGUUCCGACCCGCACGAAUGGUGUAACGAUCUGGGCACUGUCUCAACUACCCGCCCGGCGAAAUUGUAGUACCGGUGAAGAUGCCGGUUACCUGCGACAAGACGGAAAGACCCCAUGGAGCUUUACUGUAGCUUGAUAUUGGGUUUCGGUAAUUUAUGUACAGGAUAUGUGGGAGACUGGGAAGUUAUGGCGCCAGCCAUAAUGGAGUCGAUGUUGGGAUACCACACUUAGAUUGCUGGAAUUCUAACCUGUGGCCAUGAAACUGGUCAGGGGACAUUGUCAGGUGGGCAGUUUGACUGGGGCGGUCGCCUCCGAAAGAGUAACGGAGGCGCUCAAAGGUUGGCUCAGCACGGACGGAAACCGUGCAUUAGAGUGUAAACGCGUAAGCCAGCCUAACUGCGAGGGUGACGGCCCGAGCAGUAACGAAAGUUGGAGUUAGUGAUCCGGCGGUAUGUGAAUGGAAAUGCCGUCG